RNAcentral lists this ribosomal RNA (651 nucleotides) under Perameles bougainville (western barred bandicoot). RNAcentral's name for it is "partial 12S ribosomal RNA". Lineage: Eukaryota; Metazoa; Chordata; Mammalia; Peramelemorphia; Peramelidae. The record is from RNAcentral.
AUAACUCGCCAGACGAACUACUAGCAAAUGCUUAAAACUCAAAUGGACUUGGCGGUGCCCUAAACCCAUCAUACGAGGAGCCUGUUCUAUAAUCGAUAAACCCCGAUAAACCUCACCCUCUCUUGCCAAUACAGUCUAUAUACCGCCAUCGUCAGCUCACCCCACAGGGGCAAAAAAGCAGGCAAAAUUAUUACCCAUAAAAACGUUAGGUGCAAGGUGUAACAUAUGAGAAGGAAAGUAAAUGGGCUACAUUCUUCUACCCUAGAGUACUACGAAUCAUUCUUAUGAAACNAAGAUGCUUGAAGGAGGAUUUNNUAGUACNNNNNNNNAAAAGGAGCUGGUAUCAGGCACACUUUCAGUAGCCCAUUACACCUUGCUUAACCACACCCCCACGGGACACAGCAGUGACUAACAUUAAGCCAUAAACGAAAGUUUGACUAAGUUAUAAUUAUUUAGGGUUGGUAAAUUUCGUGCCAGCCACCGCGGUCAUACGAUUAACCCAAAUUAAUAGAAAAACGGCGUAAAGCGUGUUUAAAUAAUUAAAUUAGCAAUAAAGUUAAUAUCUAACUAAACUGUAAUACGUUAUAGUUAGUACUAAAAUAUACUACUAAAGUGACUUUACUUCAAUUGAAUACACGACNGCUAAGACAA